GGAGAGGUGUCCGAGUGGCUGAAGGAGCACGCUUGGAAAGCGUGUGUAGGUUUACGCCUACCCCGGGUUCGAAUCCCGGUCUCUCCGCAA
Molecule: transfer RNA, 90 nt
Filed under: Fidelibacterota bacterium
Lineage: Bacteria; Pseudomonadati; Fidelibacterota
Description: Candidatus Marinimicrobia bacterium tRNA-Ser
Rfam family: tRNA
About the family: Transfer RNA (tRNA) molecules are approximately 80 nucleotides in length. Their secondary structure includes four short double-helical elements and three loops (D, anti-codon, and T loops).
Source: RNAcentral